AAAGGAAUUGACGGGAGUUCGCACAAGCGGUGGAACAUGAGGUUUAAUUCGAUAGCAAGCGAAGAACCUUACCAGGGCUUGAAAUCCUGAUGAAAGCUUAAUGAAAGUUGAGCCUUCUGCAAGGACAUCAGGACAGGUGCUGCAUGGUUGCCGUCAGCUCGUGACGCGAGUUGUUCCCUUCAGUGGGGAAACGAGCGCAACCCCUGUUUUGUGUUUUAUGUGUCACAAAAAACCGCCCUCCUCAAAGAGCAUUUCAUUUUUAAAAUAUUGAGAAGUGUUUUUUGAGGAGGGAGGAAGGAGGGGAUGACGUCAAAUCAGCAUGGCCCUUUGAUGCCCUGGGCGACACUCAUGUUACAAUGGGAUUGACAAUGCGUUGCCAAGUCGUAAGAUGGAGCUAAUCGCAUCAAACAAUCUCCCAGUCCGGAUUGAGGUCUGAAACUCGACCUCAUGAAGUUGGAAUCGCUAGUAAUCGUGGGUCAGCCACACCACGGUGAAUACGUUCUCGAACUCUGUACACACCGCCCGU
This 526-nucleotide ribosomal RNA is filed under the name uncultured bacterium. Its description in RNAcentral is "bacterial SSU rRNA". It matches the Rfam family "Bacterial small subunit ribosomal RNA", at positions 903 to 1397 of the family's 1533-position model. The record is from RNAcentral.